AUGAAGAGAGAAGAGAAGACAGGCAGAAAAAGCCUCUCUGAGACAGAGUCAUCCAAAUCCAGUGGCAAGAGAAAAGUCAAGAUAACUGGUGAUGGUCUGGGGAUGCAGUGGAUGACCUUGGCUUCUUCAAUGAUUACCAAGCUCCAAGUACUCCAUAGCACCUGCUUUUACUACCUGCAUGGCUAUUGGAAGAAAUUGUUCUCAUCUGGCCCUUCCACUAGGGAAAACCUUUGUAUGUCUGGAAUAGACACCGCUCCACCCCCCACCUCCACCUCACUGAUGGGUAACCCUCAACUUUGUUUAGUCGACCUGCUAAGAUGGUUGAUCAGGAUAUGGCUGCUUGCACAUGCUACAGAUUUUAGGAGCCACAAGUGAGAGCAGGGUGGCAGAUAGGCACCAAAGGAGGAAAGUAGCCCUGUAAAAGGCUUGUCAAGCCCUCACACCAGAUGUACUAGUAUCCCUUGAAUAUCCUGUAUAUCCCUAGGUAUGGUUAUUAUUAACUGUGGCAGCGCUAUUUAUUGAAGAGCUAAUGGUGAAAUUUUUAUUCUGGAUUGUAACCUAUCUGAGAAGCAGUAUGGUACUGAGGAAAGAUAAUUGCCUUCAGAUUUAAGACCUGGGUACAAAUCCUCUUUCCUAUGUUUUAGCACCUGUAUGACCUUUGACAUGCCACUUAAUUUCCCAAGACCCCAAUUUCCCCAUUUGUAAAAUAAGAGGCUUGGACUAGAUUGUAUAUCUCUAUGGUCCCUUCUAGAUAUUGAUCUGUAAUCUCAUACAGAAGGGAAGUUUUAUAUUUUAUUCUUUGUUUGAAAUUCUCAAAAGAUUCACAAAGGUUCUGCCAGAAGAUCCACCCAUAAGACUUUGAUUUGCUGAUCAAAGGAAUCAAAGGACUAUGGAAAAAGCCUUUCCUCAAUAAGAAAAGAGAAACUUUAAAAGCCAUGUGACUUAUUUGAUUGUAAAGGAGUAGACAGCCCUACCCAGAAGUGUGGGGGGGAAUUGCUUGUGCUUUAAAGAACUAUGAGUUUCCCUCUUUAUUAAUG
This 1037-nucleotide long non-coding RNA is filed under the name Monodelphis domestica (gray short-tailed opossum). Its description in RNAcentral is "lncRNA (ENSMODG00000042802.1)". The record is from RNAcentral. Lineage: Eukaryota; Metazoa; Chordata; Mammalia; Didelphimorphia; Didelphidae.